This is a long non-coding RNA of Drosophila navojoa, 190 nucleotides long. Lineage: Eukaryota; Metazoa; Arthropoda; Insecta; Diptera; Drosophilidae. The record is from RefSeq and is a predicted model, not a curated record.
UUCGUUUAAAAACAACGCGUCGAAAACGUCGUGUCAGUCGAAGACCGACAUUAGUGCCGCGUGGUCAAUGCCUUGCAGGCGGUGCGACAUUUGUUGUACAUUUUAAAGAACGUGUGCGUUGUUUAACCUAAUAUUAGUUAAUCUACAAUAGCCUCAACGUUACAAAAAACUUUGUACGAAGCACGAGACA